GACGAACGCUGGCGGCGUGCUUAACACAUGCAAGUCGAACGGAAAGGCCCUGCUUUUGUGGGGUGCUCGAGUGGCGAACGGGUGAGUAACACGUGAGUAACCUGCCCUUGACUUUGGGAUAACUUCAGGAAACUGGGGCUAAUACCGGAUAGGAGCUCCUGCUGCAUGGUGGGGGUUGGAAAGUUUCGGCGGUUGGGGAUGGACUCGCGGCUUAUCAGCUUGUUGGUGGGGUAGUGGCUUACCAAGGCUUUGACGGGUAGCCGGCCUGAGAGGGUGACCGGCCACAUUGGGACUGAGAUAGGGCCCAGACUCCUACGGGAGGCAGCAGUGGGGAAUAUUGCACAAUGGGCGGAAGCCUGAUGAAGCAACGCCGCGUGCGGGAUGACGGCCUUCGGGUUGUAAACCGCUUCCGCCUGUGACGAAGCGUGAGUGACGGUAAUGGGUAAAGAAGCACCGGCUAACUACGUG
This 468-nucleotide ribosomal RNA is filed under the name uncultured bacterium. Its description in RNAcentral is "partial 16S ribosomal RNA". It matches the Rfam family "Bacterial small subunit ribosomal RNA", at positions 28 to 507 of the family's 1533-position model. The record is from RNAcentral.